GAAAAAAAACAAAUUACAUUCUACAGACAGCUCUCUAUGUUUAUAUAAGUAAAUAAAAACAUUGUAAAAAUAUGUACAUCAAGUAUAUCCCAAUUUAUCGAAUUUACCUACAUCCAAAAAAAUUAAAUGAUGAAAAACAUCAUACACAACCAUGGCCACCACCGUCGCAAGUGCAACCACCGUUGCCGGAGAUAAUAUCACCACCUUGAUGCGGUUUGGUGCUUAGGCAACAACAUAGAAGAGCCACCAGCAACAUGAAUCCCCAUACUGAAGCCAAAGCUUGUACCCAACUCAAGGAAAAGAGAAUAAUGGGAUCAUUUUGGUGAGAUAUGGUGUGGCACAUGCUGUGAGCUUGAAAGAGU
Molecule: long non-coding RNA, 362 nt
Organism: Lathyrus oleraceus (garden pea)
Lineage: Eukaryota; Viridiplantae; Streptophyta; Magnoliopsida; Fabales; Fabaceae
Exons: 2
Source: RefSeq, a predicted model, not a curated record